Non-coding RNA from Nomascus leucogenys (northern white-cheeked gibbon), 239 nucleotides. It matches the Rfam family "7SK RNA". From Rfam's summary of the family: 7SK was discovered as an abundant small nuclear RNA in the mid-70s but a possible function has only recently been suggested. Two independent studies have found that 7SK RNA binds the CDK9/cyclin T complex (known as elongation factor P-TEFb). NCBI's taxonomy places the organism in Eukaryota, Metazoa, Chordata, Mammalia, Primates, Hylobatidae. The record is from Rfam.
GUGAGGGCAAUCUGGCUGCAACAUCUAUCACCCCAUUGAUGGCCAGAGUUGAUUGGGCUGAAAAGAGGAUGAUCUUCCUCAAUAGAGGAGGACCAUUCUUUGGUCAAGGGUAUAUGAGUAGCUGUACUCCCCUUCUAGAAAUUCCAAACAAGCUCUCAAAAAGAUAUGAAGUCAAAACAAUGAAAUACCACCACACAGCUAUUAGAGUGAGAAAAUCCAAAACACUGACAACCCCAAAU